CCUACGGGGGGCAGCAGUAGGGAGUCUUUCACAAUGGGCGAAAGCCUGAUGGAGCAACGCCUCGUGCAGGAUGAAGGCCUUCGGGUUGUAAACUGCUUUUAUAAGCGAGAAAUAUGAUGGUAACUUAUGAAUAAGGAUCGGCUAACUACGUGCCAGCAGCCGCGGUCAUACGUAGGAUCCGAGCAUUAUCCGGAGUGACUGGGUGUAAAGAGUUGCGUAGGUGGCAUAAUAAGUAGCUAGUGAAAUCUGGUGGCUCAACCAUUCAGACUAUUAGCUAAACUGUUAAGCUCGAGACCGUUAGGGGUAACUGGAAUUUCUAGUGUAGGAGUGAAAUCCGUAGAUAUUAGAAGGAACACCAAUAGCGUAGGCAGGUUGCUGGGACGGUUCUGACACUAAGGCACGAAAGCGUAGGGAGCAAACGGGAUUAGAUACCCGAGUAGUC
RNAcentral lists this ribosomal RNA (442 nucleotides) under uncultured bacterium. RNAcentral describes it as "partial 16S ribosomal RNA". It matches the Rfam family "Bacterial small subunit ribosomal RNA", at positions 338 to 795 of the family's 1533-position model. The record is from RNAcentral.